UCAUUAUUUGCUUUCUGAAUCGGCUCGAGGCCAAAUGUCACGACUUCGAAGUAUCUCGAUCGCGUUUUAUUAAUGCAAAGUAGCUGGACUCCGUGGCAGUUAACUUUGGAACACCGAUUUUCGCAGAUAGCCAAAGCUCGAUUUCUCAUCGAACGCGACUUUUUCCUUUUUUUCUCAUUUAUCUUUCAUUUGUCGAAGAAAAUUUUAACCACGAAAAAAAAAAAAAAGAAAAAAGAUUUAUAAACCCUUUUCGAAUCGAAUAAUAUUUAUUCUUAUUCUUGAUCGAUGACACAUUUUAUCCCUGAUGUUCUUUUUACAGAUGUAAAAUGUAUCGAUACUAAAACUAGCAGUAUCUAAUAUGUACUUUAAAUACAUUACGUGUGAAUGAUAUAUAGCGGUAUGAUGAAAAUAUAUAUGUAUACAGUCAAUUACAAAAAUUUUUGUACACAGUUUAAGUGAGUUUAAAACGAUUAAAUCAAGUCGCAAAAUUUUGUUUUAAACGAAAUUUUCCGAGUUUGUACAUGUUUGAAAAUAUACAAACACGGUUUCAUUAAAAAAUCCGUAAGAUUUAUUGCAUAUUUCUUUGCGACUGGCUGUAUCCAAUUUUAUCGAUUCGUUCAACUACCAAUUAUAAUGUCGAGCGUGAAAGGGUCACUACGCAAUAUACUCUAAGAAUUAAAUUUUCGAAUAAUUAUCGCGUUCGAUGCAGUUGUAGUCGAUAAAUCAAUCAAGCCGACAUUCAAAGCGAUAAACAUUCAACGUAAGCGUAUUCAAAUUUAAGAAAGGAAGCGUACAUUUUUUUUUUUUCUUUUAAGCAUUAUUUCGUUUUCUUUUUUGUUUCCCCCCCUUCAUUACAAAUGCCUCAGAGUUCCAGCUAGUCCACAAAAAUUGAUAUUAUUCUACAUAAAAAAGAAAAAAAAAAAAAAAUGGUAAAUAUACUUUCUAGCUUAUACAAUUCUAAAAUGUCGGACUAACGGAAGAUGAGAGUAGAUAGAGAUAGAUAGACAGACGGAUAGAUAAAGUAAGAAAUAGAAGUAGAGAGUUGUAACAGCACCAGAAUAUUUUAUCUUUCUUCCCCGUAUUUGGUCUCUCGAUCGAGUAUCAUACAUAUAUAGACUCGGGUUCUCUUCGAAUUAGGGGGUGUGAAGGGGAGAAAGGGGAUUUUCAUAGAGAGAGAGA
Molecule: long non-coding RNA, 1179 nt
Organism: Apis dorsata (giant honeybee)
Lineage: Eukaryota; Metazoa; Arthropoda; Insecta; Hymenoptera; Apidae
Exons: 3
Source: RefSeq, a predicted model, not a curated record